AUCAUACGAUCGAUAAAAACAAACUUGACAAUACAUCUCGUCGGGUGUGCGGUUGAUUUUGCGUAGAAAGCUUAUCCUGGGAAAAGGUGUGCAAUCAUGGUUUUUGGCGAAGCUCUAGUGUUGGCGUUCCUGGCCACAACAGUAGCCUUAUUUGGUGUGUCUGUGCACAGCAUUUUCACAUCCAAGCACAACUCGCUGAUGGAAUUGAGAAAACUGGAGGAUCAGAUGAUGGAAAAGUACGGCUGGAAUCCUUCAAUGCCUUACAAUGCAUACAACUAAAGAUAAAAAGCGUAGAGGAAAAGCUUAAACUGGAUUUUUCAACCAGAUAAUUGCUGGCCUUCAGUAAGUGUGAAGAAACCGUAGAUCGAGGUUGCAUUGGAAUUCCAAGUUCCACAAUAAUUUUUUUGUAUAUUGGCGUGUUAACUACAA
Molecule: long non-coding RNA, 429 nt
Organism: Pocillopora damicornis (cauliflower coral)
Lineage: Eukaryota; Metazoa; Cnidaria; Anthozoa; Scleractinia; Pocilloporidae
Source: RefSeq, a predicted model, not a curated record